UACGUAGGGUGCGAGCGUUAAUCGGAAUUACUGGGCGUAAAGCGUGCGCAGGCGGCUUUGCAAGACAGAUGUGAAAUCCCCGGGCUUAACCUGGGAACUGCAUUUGUGACUGCAUGGCUGGAGUGCGGCAGAGGGGGAUGGAAUUCCGCGUGUAGCAGUGAAAUGCGUAGAUAUGCGGAGGAACACCGAUGGCGAAGGCAGCCCCCUGGGUUAACACUGACGCUCAUGCACGAAAGCGUGGGGAGCAAACAGG
RNAcentral lists this ribosomal RNA (253 nucleotides) under uncultured bacterium. RNAcentral describes it as "partial 16S ribosomal RNA". It matches the Rfam family "Bacterial small subunit ribosomal RNA", at positions 524 to 776 of the family's 1533-position model. The record is from RNAcentral.